CUGAGGGAAGUUCAAAAACAUUAACAUGAUGAACUUUAACAUGAUGUAGAAAUAAAAAUGGAUUUGUGUUGGUCUGACUGAAAUGACAAAAAGUUGAUUUUCUCAUUAAUAGACUAACAUACCCAUCAACCUCACAGAUAACUCAGGGAAUUACUGCAUGUCUCACAGAUAAAAUCAGCCCAAGUCAAGGCCAAAAGCACAUUUGGUUCAUUCUCUCAAUUUUUUUUAGCUCUUUAAGAAAAAACUCAGUUCAGGCCCUGUGUAUAGUUGUCUGAUUCAAAGUAUUAAGCUGAAAGAAAAAUGAGAUGAGCGGUACCUCUCAGAUUCAUCUCAAUAUAAAUAUGAGGGUUUAGUCUCACAGUUUUAAAUCUUGAAACUGUCUUUCAGAUGCUUAUUCCGAGAUCUCAGCUCAGAGGAAAAUGAGGUAAGAGCAAGCUCUCAGAUUUGUCUGAUAAUGAAGGUUUAACAGUCUGAUAGCAUGAAGAUUAUAAGACAGAUGAUCAUUCCAAAACUUCAGAUAGGAAAACAAUCAGAGUAGUUAAAGUUAUCCAGAACAUCUCAGUAUAAACUCAAUAGAAACCAGAGGUCUCAUUCAAGUCAUCUACUACAAAAAUAACUAAAGACUAAAUCAAUCAUAUUUUAAACAGUAUGCUUCAAUUCUACCAUUAAGAGACAAGAAAGCCUUGAAGAUUUCCAGCUGUUUAUUUUUUUAAUAGUUUUGCUGUAAGAAAAGUUUUUAUCAUUACUUUUGACCCUGCAAAAAACUAGUUAGCUGGUCAUGCUCAUGAAUGCUAAAACCAUGGACUGUAUAAAGCCUAUACUUACAUGGUUUCUUAGGAGCCAGACGAUGGUGGGGGCCAGUUUGGAAAUGCUGAUUAGACCAAAGUUUUAAUCAGACAAAGAGGUGGAGUUGUUGCAAGCCUUCAGCCUUUUCAAGUCGGUGUUGAACACACAAGGGGAUUAAAACCUAAUGUAAUGUACAUUUCAAUCUGAAUCUUCAAAAAUUCACUAACAAUCUAUGAGAUAAUUUUCACCCACCUACUUGAACUCUAAAGAAAGCCCAAAGAUCCAAAGACAUGAACCCUUUAACGUGUGUCAAACCCCUGAAAGAACUCAAAGCGGCACGCUGGGUUACAUAAACCUUAAUCCUACAUAGUCAAAGUGAAGGCGGACUCUUCCGAAAUCUCUACCACAUCAGUCCACAACACACAUUUAUCUAUCUCGGGGAUAAAACCCCCCAAAAAAAACAACCCAAAAAAAGAUGGCGUGAUCAGUCGCCUAACGACCGGUGUACCAGAUCAAAACACAGUUCAAUAAAAGAGAGAAAAAGUAUGCAAAACGAGAAAUCUCAGGAAACAUUUGUGUUGAUGGCAGGUAUGCAUGUGUAACCUUGAGGCAGAAAGUGGGACAUUUCUUAUUUGUUUACUAGCGCAGUCAACGGAGAAAGAAAAUGACAAGCAGCUGUUGUGCUGUAAACUGCACGAAUCGGCAAAACAAACAAUCGGCAAACAUUGCGACCCUGUUCCUGGUAUUAGAAACAUCUAAAACAACGUCACAACCUGGUAAAUUGAGUGAAAUUCAUGGAUAUUUCAGCAAAUGUUUUUCUGAUUUUGAUGCAAUGAAAGACAAAGCAAUUUUUUAAUGAAAUGACAUUUUAUCGCAAUUGUGUCAGGGAGAGCUUCCAAAGAAUACGACAUCUUCAUUGAUAUCAGUUUACCACGAAGCAGGCGUUUGACCAUGGUUGUGCGCGCACCGAGUAUUGUUUGUACACAAGAAACCCGUCUAUUGACCAUCGAAAAAGCAUCACUCUAUCCCAGCAUGUUGGAGUUCAUACAAUUACAUGUUAAUAUGCCGUAAGAGGUUAUUUUACAAUUACUAAUUUGUUGAAACAGCAAAUGUAAUUAUAACACACCUUAGAGUAAUGGGUAUGUUGAAUGAUGGAAACAGUAUGUAGCCAUUUUGGUUGGAUUAGCUUCUUGCUGACCUGAGUUGAUAAAAGGCUUUGUGUGUGUCCAUUUGAACGUGUUAUAAACAGCAGUGGGUGUAAUUGCUCUUGAAUGGUCACUGAAUACCUUGAAAACUCUCUGGCCUUUUUCCUCUCAGUGGGGGUGAUAUUAGCAUUACACUGUUGGAACUGAGAAUGAUUAGCUGUUAUAAAAAGAGCGUGAUUGCUGCCGUGCCGUUUGAUAUGGGUCUACUGUCGCCAGGGUGACUCCAUAAAUUUCCCUCAUUCAGCUGCUUGCGAUCCUCUGAUUCUUCUUUUGAUGGCAUCCAUUGACCAGAGGUUUAAAAUAAGACAAGCUUUGGUCACACCCCAUAAAGUUACACAUCUGAAAUCAUGUGUCUUUUUGAUGUGAACUGUCUCAAAGACAAACAAACAGUUUAAGUGUUGAGCAUUUUGGGAAGCGUUUGAGAGCUGGUUUGGAAAUGCAGAUUUAUCACAUUAUCUUUUAUCAUUCAUCAUGAUCGGGUGCAGUACGGGCUGCUGGCUGCAUGGUUGAUGAUUUGCCAUCUGCAAAUUAGCAUAGCCAGCUUUUGCUAGCAGUGAGACAUUUGUUGUGUUAAGUAUGUGUAGUCAGUGAGUCAGUGUCUCAGAUUUUAUUUGCUGCUUGAUUUCUGUAAAUUUGCAUCCUCGGUGGAGAGUUAUUUUCAACGCUGACUGUCAGUACGAGUGGGGUGCACAUGCAAGUAUCAUCUCCAAGGAUAGUAACAUUUUAUCAGCAUGCCUUUAUUUGUACCGUCCUGUCUUUGUGCCCUCCCUAUAGAGUGUUUAUGUGUGUGUUUGUGUCUCUGUGUGUGAGGGGUUGUCCUUGAAGCCGGUGCACAUUGGUGUUAGAAUGAGGAUGUGUAUUAAUGUGUGUGUGUUUCUCUUCCCUCUCUGAGGACGAGCAGUCCCAUCCGUCUUCUGUGCUCAGUAAUGGGGGCUCAGGGUGGCUUACGCUCGGCCCCCUGAUCCGUCCUCAUUUGGUUGGCAUUUCGUUACGGGCCAGACACUCUUCUUCUGACACGCAGAGGCAACCUAGACUACCCUCCCUCCUCCUCCACCUGCCAUCCUCUCCUCUACUCCUUUGCUUUCUUUGCCUUUACUCGCUCCCUCUUACUUUGUCUGACAAAAACAAACACACACAACCUCUUGCACAUACUCAUUUUCUCCCCUUGUCUGCAUCUCAGCUUUACUCUGCAACCACAGGAUCAGGCAAAAUAAGGACAAAUUGUUAUGAAUCCCAAGGAAACAAGCAAAGGGGAUGAAAAAAAGAGAAAAAAGGUAGCAGCGCCCGCCUGCAAGGCAACUGUAAGCAUAAAUCCAGUGAUAUACUGCUGUGGUGCUCACUCUGUAAGUGCGUCCAUCCCUCAUAAUGAUGCCCAUAACGGUCACAAACUCCUAGGACGAUCCAAUGUCACACCAACAUCAGGUGUUGUGCUUUCCUUUGAUUUUGAUAUGGAUUCAGCAAAAGAUCAUCACAACGAUUUAAUUUCAGCUGCAGGGUUUCUUUUCCGAGCUCUGCUGCUUUGAUUAAUGCUGCCAUAUUGGAUUUAAAACAAGAGCGCAACACAAACAAAUGCCGAUACAGCCAGCCCCUGAGAAGUGAUCUACCUUGCCUGGCCAGGGGGCCGUGGAUAACGUUUACAGGCGGUGUGCUGCGAUGCACGCUGAAUACCCCUCGGCUUAAAGCAGCAGUCGACAGCAAGCUGAAACAAACCUCAUCUCGGUUAAAGGCAAUUCCCCUUCAUAGUGCUUCUCAAGCCCUGAGCCGCUGGUCCCAAAACAAAGCCAGUCAAUCUAAUCAUGAGGAAAGGUGAGUAGGGAGGGCAGAAGAAAGAAAGAGAGAGACGGAGGGGGAGGCUGAGAUAGAGCUGCGUGUGUGUGUGAGUGUGUGAGUGUGUGUGCAUGAGAGAGACAGAGUGGGAGAUAGGGCUUUGCAACAUCAAUCCUAUGAACUCGGAGGCCCAUGGCUGAGUCACAGAGGUGUUUAUGUGUCUAAAACCCAGAAUCAUCCUGUCUGCUAUCUGAGAGGAAAACUACAAGAGAUGCUAGAAUCUGCUUUUUCAUAUAGGCGGCCCCUGAAACUCUUAUAAAUAGUCAUCGCUGAAGUUUAUCAUAUUUUUUAUGAUUACCAGUUAGGAUAAAACGAUGUGUUACUGCAUCUGUGUGUCUCCAUCUGUAUUGCUUCUUCUGCAUCACCCUCUUUUUCACUUCUCGCUCUCAUCUGUUUGAGACAGAUGGCUGUCUUCUAAUGACUCUGGCUCUUCUUGUGUUUUCUGCCUGUUAAAUUAAAAGGACGUUUUUUCUUCCACUGAUGCAAAGUGCUUGCUUAUCAACCAGUCUUUAUUUUCAUCUCUCCAAAUCCCAAAUAAUGUAAUCUCAAUACACUGCAUACAAAAAAACAGGUCUACUGCAGAUGAUACUCUUUGUUUAAGAGCACCAGGGGCUGAGACGGGCCCUCGAAAUACUGAAUAGCAGAGUGCUUACUCAUGCCUAUUUAUCAGUCAAGGGUCACAACAUCUUCAAAAUGGAUGUCUAUUAUUAAAAUUUCAACCCUGUCUGAUGUACAAAUAGAGAGAUUGGCUCUUAAGAUCAAACCUUUUUUGCACCAGGCGAUUAAUGUGUCUUAAUCUGCUGUAAAAUGGGCGUUUUAACAUGGAUGUAAAUGAGGUUUUCUUGGCUUUUUGAACCAACACCACACUCAAGCUGCAGUUUUUAGCACUGCUAUGUAGUUCACUCAUUUAUCGUCAUUCAUUCAUUUGAUUAAACUUGGGGUUGGCGCUUGCUUUUAGGAUGGACUACAGCCAAAACUCUGAAUUUAAUCUUGUCUCAACCAGGUUCAGAGCUGAUAGAUGAUGAUAAAGUUUGAAAUACAGCCACUUUCAUGACUCUAAAAAGUUCUGCUCAUGGACCCUGUUAUCACAUACCUCUCCUUAUGGUACCUCUCCCUUGCUCUUAGUUGAAAGUGUCAUAAGAAAAUUUGGUGAUUUAUGGAUGAUUUGUAAAACAGGUUUUUAUUGCAGCCUCAAAUCUGACAUCUUCCACUAGUUUUUGCACCCUAUAAACCCAAACCCAUCCACACACACCCCUAAAACACUCACAGUAGCGCACAGAUGCACACUCUCUGCUUUUCUCCACCGCAUAUGGGAAUAACGGUCUGCUGUUUCGGUGUGUGCAGUGAGGUGAGUGUCUGAGUCUAGUCAGCACAACAUGGCCUCUCUGCGCUGCAGGAUAGCCCUACUGCUGAGCGCUGCAAGUACAGUACAUUUCAAUUUGUUCCGGGAGGGAUCAAAUUCUACCGCCUUGCAAAUCUCUCUGAGCGGCAGGCGAAUAAAUGGAGAACUGUAGGAAAUAUAAUAGAGCUGUGUUUGAACCACCAGGAUCCAAUCGAAGCCUGAAUAUCUGUAUCCACGAACUAUCAGCGGGGAGUCUGGACAAUCUGGGUGAGGGGGAAAUCAAUAAAAGACGGGAUAAUUACAGGCUGCAUAUCUAGCAAAAUUGCUUCUUAUACAUUAAUCUUUUCGUAAAUGAAAGGCAAAAAGCUCUUUAAAUACAGGUGUAUAGUAAAAGAUUCACUUCCCAGCAGGAGGACGGUUCACAGCAGUCCAAAGGCUUAUUAGCAAUCUCAACCUUCUGAUAGACGUUAUGAAUCUUUCAUUCAGAAAUGGAAACAGAGAAGAAUAAAAGUCCUUAAAGGUCUGCAGAAAGUUGAAGAGCAGAGGUUGAGAAAGGACAACUCAAACCUAAUUACCUUCAUCACUCACUCUUGCCCUUAAUGUAUCUGAUACCGUGCUCCCGGAAAUAAAAAACCUCAUCACUAAUAACUGAUAUCAAAGAGCUGAGGAGAGACUUUUCAGAGCUGGACAAUUUUUUUUCUCUUUUUGCUGAUACUUGAUUGCACUUUUUUCUUUUCUCUGAGGUGGCCAGAGGUUAAAUUCAUCACCCCUCCAGUAAGAAAAGACAGAGCAUCAGAAAAGGUAUAACUUUUCAAUUGUAGAGGGCAAUGACUGAUAAACAUUCAGGUGUUUGCAGCUUUUGAUUUCACAUGGCCACUAUUCUUUAAAGGAUGCAGCCUUUUGAGUGUUAUAAAGACCAUCCAGGCUGCUCUCUUCUGCAUUUGACCUACACUUUUGGUUCACAUAGCUCUAUACCCUCAUUGAAGCUGCCUAGCAACAAGUUAGCUGGCUAAGGUAAUGUGUAGCACUAGGGUGACCAUAUUCUGAAUCCCCAAAAAGGAUCCACAACUAUGCGGGGGAGUCGCACAUAGUACAUUUUUGAAUUUUUGAAUUUCCCGUGUUGGGUUGAGUGUUUUUUACGUGCUUCUAACUCAGGAAGUCCACGCGACACAAACUCAAAACUUCCAUACAAAACCCCGGACAUUUAAAGGAUUUUAUAAACUCCCCCGGACAAGGCCGGACAGCCCCCCAAAAAGAGGACAUGUCUGGGUAAAAGAGGACGUACGGUCACCCUAUGUAACACUCACUCUACCACUGACUUGAAACCAGACCUGCUAGUUUUUGAGCUUUCGGGGUAUUUGUACUACUAAUGAAUUUGGAGUAAUGUAAGUAUUUGCUACUUCGUAAUCUUUGUGCUGAACUUAAAACUCUAGCUGCUCUAGCCGAACAUUUGUCAAACCCAAAAGUAAGACUUAAUGACAUAUUUGGUUUUCUUACAUUUUGCGCACUUCUUGUUCAUCAUAGAGCAAAUAUUUAAAACUCCUAUGAGCAUUUUUUUUAUUUUACAUUUAUGAAAGAGACUGACAUUUAUGGUGUUGCCUUUUCAUGUGAUCCAAAAGCAAACAAGACCACCGGGGACAAGAAUGGAAAUGAGUAUAUUGUCAUUUUUAAUGCCUGAAACUGUUAUAAAGGAGGUACAUUAAGUGUCAGCUGAUCCGCUACAGAAACAGGCCUCUUUUUACAAGUUCCACUUAAUCUCUUUACAAUUAAUGACACAUUUGGUGGUAAAAAGUCAGUAAUAUAAUUUUUUUUUGCAGUAAGACACAACUUAGGGACGAAGAGGACAAGACAAGUAAAGAUCACUUUGUCCAUAAGGGGCGCCAAAAUUGGCAGAAACUGGAAAUCCCUUAUAGGAGCUUUAAGCUAGUUGGUGAGCAUCAGCCUAAGGUUGUUUGUAGUUUUUUUUAUCAUGUAUACUGAUGUCACUACUGUUGUGUAAAUUCAACAUAAAUUAGCAUUACCAACUCUUGUGAAUAUAAAGUGGGAUGUGUUACAGGAAUCUUUUUAUUAUUCACAGCCAAACUAGCAACCACUCCCCCUAGGGUCAACAUGGUGUCAUUGUAUGAAAGAGUGACUAGGUCACAGCAGUAUCUUGCAGUUUACCUGUGAUACUGUCUCUUUAAGAAAUGUUUCCUCUUCUCUACUCAGGCAUAGUUCAGUCAGCUAUUGAGGGGCCUAAUCCCACAUGUUGUCUAUGGGAGUCAGUUUGACACUCCACGUGAUCUUAAGAAGCUUGUAUGUGUUCCUGAAGAAUGUAAGUUGAAUUGCAUUAUCAUUUGAUGGAUAAUUUGCAUAUAUUCACUUUAUUUGGCCUAAAUUAUAAUUAGUUUAUGUGUGUUAUACAUGUUAUGUAUCAGAUAUUGGUUAUUAUAAAUCAGUUUACAAAUUGUUAAUAUUCCCUGUCUGUUUUUAUUCUGUUUCAGCAAUCAUACAUGCGUAUCUACCAGUACUCUUUGCUUAUCAGGACCUUGAAUAAACGUCGUCAAACGCAUACCUGCCUGCCGUGUCCAGCCAUCUACCUAUUCCUACUAACAGACCUUGAAAGUCAUGAUGCGUCUUAAGCUGAAAAACUUGACCACAGUGUCGGGAGAUUGAACCAGGUAAAGGGUCAUUUAUGAGUUUUACAAUAACCGGCAUUAAAAAGUCUACUGUAUGUUACUUUUUUGGCUGGUUCUGUUUGGUGUAGUGCUCCUUCACUUCCUGAGACACCUUGCUGUAGAUCAAUAGCUCAUCACAAGGCCCAUUAGCAGGGGGGAUGAAUCUAAUAGGGUGGUGAAAUGAGGAGUUGGUUUAAUCCGGUGCAAUAAAGCCUGAUUCUAAUUGCUAGAUGUAAAGAAGUGGAGAAAAAUGGCUUUUUAGUUGUUUUUGAAACAGGGUUCCAAUUAACACUGAUUAAUCCCCUACAUGGUUUUAGUGAUUGACUUCACUUGAGAGUUACAUUUAUUCAUUUUUGUGUGGUUGCAAAGUUAAAAAGAAAACAAUAGCUGUGAGCAAGAGGGUGUUUUUUUUUUUAAUCAAAACAGAAUCCCGCUCCAAUCUUUGUGAUAUUAAUGCUUCAUUUUGUCAUAUGAUGGCAGUAAUCAGUCUAAGGAGUGUUUUUAAGCAAUGUUUCUCACACUUGAAGAGUCAUUAAUACCAGAGUUUUACAGAACACAGUGAUUGCUUUCCAGGACCUGUAAUGAUUGUGGAGUUAAAUAGGUACCCAGUCAUUACACUUCGCCAUUUUCCAUUGUUUUCUAGUUAAAGGUAAUCAAUUUUCUUAUGAGCAUGAGUCCCGUAAGUGUUCCACUGCCUGUGUUGAGUGCGCUCAUUAAUCAAAGAGACAAACAUCCCUCAGAGGGAUGCUCGAAUCCUCUGAUGUAAGUUCUGUAAAACAAAAAAUGUCAUAAUGUGUAAAAAUGAAAGAUGAUACAGCAGCAGAAAGGUAAUAAUACAAGUGACUCCCUCUGUCGUGUUUUCUCUUUUGCCUUUAUCCAUCUCCCCCGCCGCCUCUCCUUUUCCUGUCGUCUUCCUCUGACUGUCUUCUCUCUCAUCUCCUCCCUUCCUGUUGGCUCGUGAAGGGCUUCAUUUGUCAUCCAGCAGGUGAUGAGUGCAAUGUUUUUCACCCUGACCUCUAUUCUGUCACUAAUGAGAUAUCCGCUAUACCGCCUCUUGCUCCCACCACUAAACUGAGACCAGGGUCAAGAACCAUAUUCACAAAAAGUUCUUUCGAUUAGUCUAAGCCAGAACAGAUUUGAUCAAUUUUUCACAUGGGAGACUUUAACAAACAUUGCAUUUUAUGGCUGUCAACCAGACAAUAAAGCAUAAAUAUUACAUUUAUUUUCUACAUGUCCAUGAUUGACACAAGAUAAAUGGUUUUAAUUCGGUAAAUUCCAGUCAUCUGUGAGUCAGAAAGGUAAAAACAAACUCAGAGACUGACAUUUUGAUCUAAUUAUGCAAACAAGGUGUGAUAAAGUCACAUACAAAAGUACAAAACACCUCUAAAAGUUUCAGGUUUAUGCAUCAGCAGCUACUUAUCAGUCUACCACCUUCACUUUCCUCUCAUACCCUCCGCAAACACAAUCUGGAUCUGUGUGCCCAUCAGGGGAGAAAAAAAAAAAAUUCUCACACCCUAAGAACUGACAGUAAGACUUUUUUUUCUUAUAACACCCUGACAUACGUCAUGCCUUUUGUUAGAAGUCUUACCUAACAUGUCACCCUCAGUCCUCAAGGUUUUAGUCUUUCCACACAGCUGGACCGCUCGCAGCAAAAAAGCAAAGCAGCAGGAGAGUAGAUUCUGUAAUGGACUGAAAAGUGAGCUGAAGUAACAGAAUCUUUUUAAAGCGUUGGACUCGAGACCUUCAUGGACCUUAAACUUAAGAUUUUAAACAUUUAAAAACACAUUUAUAAUACAGAAAUCUUUCAAUAGGACAGCUUAUGCAUUUCUAAGAAACAAAGCCUUCAGUGGCCUUUUUAAACCUCCACAAAUAAAGUCCUUUAGAGUCAGUGUCAGACGAUUCUGGGAAAAUGUCGGGUAAAAUUCAGCUUCUUUAGAGGUGAAGUGAACAGCAGAAGCACAUUACUUCAGCAUGCCAUCAUUUACACCUCCAGGGAUGAAAUCAAGUCUUCUCUGAAAUGAGAAAGAUGUGUUUGUUCCAAGAAUGACGUUAUGAAAACGUAUCACAUGUCUCUGGGGUUAGAAAACGACUGAACGACUACAGCAGUGUUAAACUUUGAUGCUCUAGUGGUUAUUUUCUGCUGCACUUACCUUGCCUUAAAAUAAACCUGGUGUGUAACAGAUUUUUUGGCCACUUGGAGGCAAAACAAGUUAUAAACACAAGUCUGUGAAAACAUCAUUGCAUAGAUCCAAUCUUAACUCGUCUUUUCGCUUUGAUUUGGUCUCCAUAAACUUUCAAAGAGACUGAUCUUUUUAUGUAGCUGCCAAAUAUUUUAAAAAGUCCCAUUAAAUUGUUAACUGUUGUAUGAUGCUGAGCAAGGUUCAGUCAACUGAGCUGUUUUAAUUCAACUUUUACUCCACACUAAAAACAGCACAUUUCUACCAAACAAAACCAAACUGAAGGUGAAACAGUGUGCUCUAACGGCAUGCAAGCAUCAGAUCAGGUCAAACAAAUCACAUUGCCAUCAGCAGUCCACAGGAGACAGGCUGGAUGUAUCAGCGUCAAGGGGGCAUUUCCUAACCUCUUGUUUUUGUAAUUUGUAAACAGAAAAAUGGAAAAGACCCCAGAGUCAAAGCACAGCACCUAAAUCAUGAAUGGAUGGGGAUGGAAGAUACCAAAUUCUUAGUUUAAUACAAUGGGGAUGUUUUUGACAAUAAAUGCCAAUAGAGCAUAUAAAUUUGUAUACAUUGACUUUUUUAAUAGCCAAUUAAAUCCUUGUUCUCUGCAAAAUCAGCCAAAGCAUUCAGAUAGUGAAGUUGAGCGUUCUCUACAAUAUUUGCCUCCAAAAUAUGAAAAGUUUGAAAAGUACUCAUUGGGUAUCAAUAUUUGUUAGAAGUACAAAGUAUGGUUACUUUAGAAUCAAUACAGCCAUCCCUACUUGUGGCCAGUUUGGAUAGAAAUCAAUGUAAUCCACUCGAUUAUGUUGCUGAUGUUCAUAUUGUUCAUUGUGAGGAUGCCAUUUAAGUUUGAUUUAAAAAUGCAGAAUUACUUUUUUGUAACUUUUUCACAAUUUUAAACCCUCCUCAACAAUUUGUACCUUAAUUCUGAUCAAUCAAAUGUCUCUGUUAGUGUCUCUUGCUAAAAACAGCAAUAAAACUGACGGUGAAGCUGAUUUUCUAUUCACUCUUACACACAUCAUGAAGCACAUUAAGUGUAUUCAUGUGAUUAAAGUUGAAAAAAGUGUUUUCUCUGACAUGCUUUAACUCAUUUGUCUUCACCGUGUUACCUGGCAGACAUAAUCAAGUCUUUAAUAAAAGCUCAAGAGUUUUUUUUUUUUUGAACAAUGUGACUAAUGUGGUGUCGUAAGUGAUAAUGAAAAAGGUGGCGGUUCAUGUAAGGCGACUUUGAAAUACCAAACGGCAUCAAAUAUUCAGUCACACCUUAACAAAGAGCGUGUUAUCAGCUAUUUUCAAAAGGAGAGGACAAAUAAGUUACAGUUGAGUGCUCUGGUAUGCUGUUUGCUUUAUUAAGAAGCUGGUGUGAUUAUUGAGAAGUGCAGUCAGGUAACUUUGAAUAUUUUUUUACUUUUCAGUUGAAAAUGUUCAAAUUUACUCUUUUUGUUUACAUGAUGAGAAGGUUUUAAAAUGAAUAAAUAAAUAGUACCCCCAAACUCUUGCCAGUUUAACUCUUAGUUUUACGACUAAUAAAAAACACAGCUAACACUUAGUUCUUUCCUGACAUACAGGAGGUUAGUGCCAAAGUCUGACAAUACAAUAACUUUAUUUAUCCCUAAAGGUAAAUUCAUUUGUCUGAAGUCUCAUAUUAUCUACUAUUUAUAGAAGAAUUAAAAAGUCUGAUGGCUACGGGUACUGAAGAUCUCCUGCAGUGAAGCGAGAAGAGCCAUCCACCUCAUUUUUUAGCCCCAUGAGCUUAAACAAAGCAAAACUAUAGCACAGUUUUAAAGCAAAUCAAAGCAGAGUAUGAUUGAAAAAAAAAAAAAAAAUUGAUUUUUGUUUUCCCACACUUAUUAUACUGUAUAUGGUACACAUAAGAAAUUUGAAGUAUUCUUGGUAUAUAUAUAAAGUCUAUAUUUGUGUGUAUAUGUGUGUAUUAAGGUAUGGAUGUAUAUAUGUAUGUAGAAGGUCUUUGUUUUAGUAUUAAUGAUUAGUUAUAUAGUCAUGCUAGACUUUGGAGCUUUGGUUAUUUUUUGGCAAAAGACAUGUAAAGGAUAAACGAAUAGGAAGGAAUGAGGGUCGUUACAUAAUAGCUUCAACCUAUUCCUUUUUGAUCUCCAAAAAAAUAGGGAAUUCUUUGUUUAAAAUUGUACUGUAUGUAAAUUUGAUUGAAUAAUCAAUACAAUCAAUCCAAAAAAUAAAAAUAAAAAUGGAUGUGUUAUAAAGUGGAUGAUCCAUGUUUUUAGAACCUACCUUCCUCAGGGUGCAUCUGUCUCGUUGUCAUUUGGCAGAUCGAGGGUUUAGUUUUCUCUGGUUGGACAGUUAACAAACUGUGUGAAUCCAGUCAGGUGAGAGGAGAGGGUAGCAUGGUUGAUGUCUUCUGAUGUUAUUACAAGUGCCUCAGGAUGUUGAGUCUGUAUCCUUGCAUCAGUAUUAUGGAGAACGUCACAUGUUACUGUGGCCAUAUUAUGUUUCAAGGGAGUUCAGUCAUAUAACAAUACAUGUAUACAUCCCACCCAAGGCAACGACUGAAGGGCAACUGCCAACAGUUCAAUAUCUGGAAAACACAUCCUCUCCUUGACAGUUAUGUGUGAAGAGUUACACCAUCUCUGGUUGACAAAUAAAGCCAGGCCUCCUCCUUUCGUCUUGCCACUAGCUUUAACAUCUCAGCCAGGCAGGUCCACACUUAAAUCCAGGUUGUUUUUGAUUCAACUAGGUUUCACUAAUACACAGGAGACCACACUCACAGUAAGCUUUCUCAGUCUAUACCAAUAUCUCCAGCUUGUUGAUUUCGAUGGACACAAAGCUGACGUUUCCCAUGAGGACACCUCCAGAUGUCCGCUGGACUUGGAUGUCGUUGGCGAGAUUUGCUCCAUCUCAAUGAAAGAAGCCCUUCUCUUGAAUAAACUCGUCUCCCAGCCAAAAUAUCCAUCAGCAGUUGACAAAUUAUAAGAAUAUUAAAAAAUUGAGAAAAAGUUGCAGAAAAUUAAGUUGGUUAGUUGAGCACAGGUUCAAGAAUCCUAGCUUCAAGAAACCUGAUGAUGAUGAGUCAGCUCAAACUCACCUGUGUUUUGUGAGGGACUUUGUAAACAUAAAAGUAUAUUAUCUCCUUCACUCCUACUACAUUCUCCUUAAGUCAUACUUAUUGUAAAAAAGACAAGUGAGUCGUCUAGAAUUGAGAUUUCCCAUACAGUGCUGCUACUCUUCUUGUCCACAGGGUCAGCUCAGGUGUCUGAGUAGUCUAUCUGGAGUGAACUGAAGAUGCUGAGAGACAUGGCUCACGACCUGGGGACCAUGGUGAGGGUCAGGUUAGAGAGAGAAAAGUCAGAGACAGUGAAGAGGAGGCUGAGGAGGAGAGGAGCGAAGUUUUACUCCUGACCUGUGAACUUGGAUACACGUCAGAGAAGGUGAAGAAGCAGAGGAAGAAGUUUUGUUAGCUAAAGAAAGAAAACACAGGUACUAAUAAGAGAAUAUCUCUUAUGGAAAAUGUCACUGUGUCCAUAAGAGCUCCAAAACAGCUGCCUUGACACAGAUGCAGUAUCUUUAAAUAUACACAUUUUUGUUGUUUUACCCUGUAAAAUUGUGAAAAAAGCUCUAUGACAUGACCUGGUCCUGCAUAUUUUAGAAUAGUAUUUCCACUAAGAUAUAAAAGAAUUUAUCUUGAAACCGAAACAACAACAAUAAUAAUAAUUUUAUGAAGGGAAACCAGUGUAUAUUAUCCCCAGACAUGUUUUUUGUUCUAUAAUAUGAGAGGCUAGAGGUUGAGCCACAUGUGAAGAACUGGUCAGAGGAAUUUAAUCUUUUUUCUCUUAAAGGUUGGCAGUUUAAUCCCCAGUUUUCAAACUUUACGUGACCUUCGGCAAGAAACUGAAACUCAAGUUGCUCUCUGAGGCGUAUCCAGCAGUGUGAAUGUGUUAGGUCUGGUGUUGUUGACUGUGUUAAAUACUUAUCUUAAAUAUAUUGAAGCCGCAAAUGCUUUUCCCCUUCUUUAUGAUUCCAGUGCUGUCGGCAGAGCUGUCAGGUGUAGGACACAGAGUGGCAGCCACUGUGAAAGACCUGGACUACCUGAGAGGAGUGUUCAGCAUGACUGAGACUCGAGUGCAACUGCAGAAGAUAAUUGCAGAGGACCUGGAGAGAACAAAGUCAAGUAGCCACGACCCCGUGAUUUAACCGGACCAUCCUAAAACCUUAGUACCAGUGGUGCUUGUGUUUCAAAUGUUGUGCAUGUGUCUGAAUUAUUUGAUUUCUGAUCAAAUAUUUGAUAAUUUGAGCAAAAGCUUGAGAAAUAAUUCAAAGUGCUUCACACUUAAAGCACCGGUUACUCAAACCUGCAAACAUUUUCCUUCUAAACUUCAUGAAUGUUUGAUUUAAUUUAAUGUUCCUUUUCUCUCAAAACACAAUAAUUUUUAUAUGGCUUUUACUUCUCCAAUAGAUAACUUUCAAAUAAGAUAAAACCACAUGGAAGUCCUUGCUUUGGUGAAAUAUUUUCAGAGGACAAUGUCAGACAUCAAACUAAAACAGAGUGACGUACAAAGUAGUUUGAGGAAAGCAGUGAGAGCAGAUCUGAAUGAACAUAAAAUACCAGGCUCAAUGUCACUGAUGAAAUAUGUAUAAAUAUCAGGAAGAUAUAAACCUAACUUAGAUAAUUUAGUACAAAUAUCAUACUACAAUAACAUUAUGGAUAAGUAUAGAAUAAAUCAGUGUUGUCAGAGAACAUUUGCAUUAGUAUGUUUUCCAAGUAUUAAUUGGUGUCAGGUCCAGGGAAUCAGAGCAUCGCCCCUAAUAGCCAUGCUGGUGGGGUGUGAAUGUUGACAUGAUUGGUACAGAAGCCCCAAGGGGCAAAAAAAAAGAAAAAGGUGACUUAUUUUCUUGGAUGGAUCCAAAUUGUUUUCACCCCUGUGUUAAAUAUGCUUCCUUAACAGUUGCAACUGUUUCCACAGUCAAAAAAGGAAAAAGAGGUCCAAAAAUUAUCCAAAGAAACUGUUUUUCAUUUGCUAAAGGCUUUCCUCUCACUCCUGUAACGAAGAGAUGGCAUAAAGAAACCUUUUUUCUCUCCUAUUGAUCAGAUAGAAAGAAAAAGAAACUAAAACAUUGAAUUGUAUCUUUAUUUUGUUAUUAAAUCAUUAAAACAGUAGGAAAAAAUAAUAAAAA
Molecule: non-coding RNA, 15142 nt
Organism: Xyrichtys novacula (pearly razorfish)
Lineage: Eukaryota; Metazoa; Chordata; Actinopteri; Labriformes; Labridae
Source: the annotation of a GenBank genome assembly